This 429-nucleotide ribosomal RNA is filed under the name Gemmatimonadota bacterium. RNAcentral describes it as "Gemmatimonadetes bacterium partial 16S ribosomal RNA". It matches the Rfam family "Bacterial small subunit ribosomal RNA", at positions 355 to 776 of the family's 1533-position model. Lineage: Bacteria; Pseudomonadati; Gemmatimonadota. The record is from RNAcentral.
UAGGGAAUCUUCGGCAAUGGACGAAAGUCUGACCGAGCAACGCCGCGUGAGUGAAGAAGGUUUUCGGAUCGUAAAACUCUGUUGUUAGAGAAGAACAAGGACGUUAGUAACUGAACGUCCCCUGACGGUAUCUAACCAGAAAGCUACGGCUAACUACGUGCCAGCAGCCGCGGUAAUACGUAGGUGGCAAGCGUUGUCCGGAUUUAUUGGGCGUAAAGCGAGCGCAGGCGGUUUCUUAAGUCUGAUGUGAAAGCCCCCGGCUCAACCGGGGAGGGUCAUUGGAAACUGGGAGACUUGAGUGCAGAAGAGGAGGGUGGAAUUCCAUGUGUAGCGGUGAAAUGCGUAGAUAUAUGGAGGAACACCAGUGGGGAAGGCGGCUCUCUGGUCUGUAACUGACGCUGAGGCUCGAAGGAGUGGGGAGCAAACAGG